This is a long non-coding RNA of Rhinopithecus roxellana (golden snub-nosed monkey), 921 nucleotides long. RefSeq lists it as uncharacterized. The transcript has 3 exons. The record is from RefSeq and is a predicted model, not a curated record. Lineage: Eukaryota; Metazoa; Chordata; Mammalia; Primates; Cercopithecidae.
GUCAAAAAGUCCUGCUGGUGCUAGUCAGAGGAGAAAGAACAGAGGUUUUAACAGGGAACCAGCAUCUACAGCUCAGUGCUGCAUUGUAGGACACCUCUGACAAGGUGGAAGGGAAAAAAGACCUGGUGUGAGUCACCAAACUUGCCUGGUUCUGAACUGACAACUACGGAAGAAGGAAUGGAAGGAAAUUAACCAUCAGUAAAGGCCUCUUGUGUGCCAGGGAGUUUAGACAUUAUUUCACUAUAAGACUGUGCUGGAGCUCCAUGAUGCAACUGGACUUCUUUACAUGAAAACAGCCCCCAUGGUGGGGUUUUCCUGACCCCACACUCUGCCUAGUAUCUUUGUAUGGUGAUUCACAGAUCAUGAGUGCACUCCUAAGGAAGUGGAAGAAGGUAAGGAGAAGAAGAGCUAAUUAUCUGAGCUGCUUUUGAAAUAAAGUGAUAUCAGAGAAGAAAGUUUAUUUGGCACUAAUCAGACAGAGAGAAGGAGGAAAAAUCCCAGCCACCCAAGAAGUAAAACUUUUAUAUCAUUAUAUUCUCACACAGAAACAGGGUUGGUCCUGACUCAGUCAGAAUGACCUCUAGCUACAAAGGUACUAGGAAGCUACUCAUGAAGUUAGAAGCAAAGAAGAGGGAGCCCAUCAAAUAUCAUUUUAGUUAUAUCAGGGAUCUUUAGAAGCAAGGCCAUGAAAUAGAAUACCAAGUUCUGAAGCCUAUGAAGAUCAAGACCUUAAAAGAUAACCCAUUCAUGUGUUCUGGACUCCUUUUCUCCACCAGGUGAGGAACUCAGGGCUCAACCAUCCAAAAAUCAUACUAAUUGGUCCUGGGAAGUCAGCUGACUUCUGAUCACUGUCCCAGGAAAGAUCUUGUGACCCUCACUGACCUCCAUCUUAUAGGGAGUACCACUGAGGCCCCUUGUUUA